Molecule: non-coding RNA, 148 nt
Filed under: Gorilla gorilla gorilla (western lowland gorilla)
Lineage: Eukaryota; Metazoa; Chordata; Mammalia; Primates; Hominidae
Source: Rfam by way of RNAcentral
ACUGGGUGUAGUGGCAUGCACCUGUAGUCCCAGCUACUCAGGAGGCUGAGGCAGGAGGAUUGCUUGAGCCCAGAAGUUUGAGGCUGCAGUGAGCUAUGAUUGCACCACUGCACUCCAGCCUGGGUAACAGAGCAAGACCUUGUCUCUU